Molecule: transfer RNA, 124 nt
Filed under: Candidatus Nitrosocaldus cavascurensis
Lineage: Archaea; Thermoproteati; Nitrososphaerota; Nitrososphaeria; Candidatus Nitrosocaldales; Candidatus Nitrosocaldaceae
Description: Pseudo tRNA
Rfam family: tRNA
About the family: Transfer RNA (tRNA) molecules are approximately 80 nucleotides in length. Their secondary structure includes four short double-helical elements and three loops (D, anti-codon, and T loops). Further hydrogen bonds mediate the characteristic L-shaped molecular structure. tRNAs have two regions of fundamental functional importance: the anti-codon, which is responsible for specific mRNA codon recognition, and the 3' end, to which the tRNAs corresponding amino acid is attached (by aminoacyl-tRNA synthetases). tRNAs cope with the degeneracy of the genetic code in two manners: having more than one tRNA (with a specific anti-codon) for a particular amino acid; and 'wobble' base-pairing, i.e. permitting non-standard base-pairing at the 3rd anti-codon position.
Source: RNAcentral
GGGCCGGUAGUUCAGCGGUAGAAUGUCCGCCUCGCACGCGGAUGAUCCCAUACCAGCAGGUAGAUAAAUUUACAGGCUUGGUGGGGUCAGCGAGAGGUCGCGGGUUCAAAUCCCGCCCGGUCCA